AGAGUUUGGAACCUGGCUCAGGAUGAACGCUGGCGGCGUGCUUAACACAUGCAAGUCGAACGGUGAACACGGAGCUUGCUCUGUGGGAUCAGUGGCGAACGGGUGAGUAACACGUGAGCAACCUGCCCCUGACUCUGGGAUAAGCGCUGGAAACGGCGUCUAAUACUGGAUACGAACCGCGACCGCAUGGUCAGUGGUUGGAAAGAAUUUCGGUUGGGGAUGGGCUCGCGGCCUAUCAGCUUGUUGGUGAGGUAAUGGCUCACCAAGGCGUCGACGGGUAGCCGGCCUGAGAGGGUGACCGGCCACACUGGGACUGAGACACGGCCCAGACUCCUACGGGAGGCAGCAGUGGGGAAUAUUGCACAAUGGGCGCAAGCCUGAUGCAGCAACGCCGCGUGAGGGAUGACGGCCUUCGGGUUGUAAACCUCUUUUAGCAGGGAAGAAGCGAAAGUGACGGUACCUGCAGAAAAAGCGCCGGCUAACUACGUGCCAGCAGCCGCGGUAAUACGUAGGGCGCAAGCGUUAUCCGGAAUUAUUGGGCGUAAAGAGCUCGUAGGCGGUUUGUCGCGUCUGCUGUGAAAUCCCGAGGCUCAACCUCGGGCCUGCAGUGGGUACGGGCAGACUAGAGUGCGGUAGGGGAGAUUGGAAUUCCUGGUGUAGCGGUGGAAUGCGCAGAUAUCAGGAGGAACACCGAUGGCGAAGGCAGAUCUCUGGGCCGUAACUGACGCUGAGGAGCGAAAGGGUGGGGAGCAAACAGGCUUAGAUACCCUGGUAGUCCACCCCGUAAACGUUGGGAACUAGUUGUGGGGUCCAUUCCACGGAUUCCGUGACGCAGCUAACGCAUUAAGUUCCCCGCCUGGGGAGUACGGCCGCAAGGCUAAAACUCAAAGGAAUUGACGGGGACCCGCACAAGCGGCGGAGCAUGCGGAUUAAUUCGAUGCAACGCGAAGAACCUUACCAAGGCUUGACAUAUACGAGAACGGGCCAGAAAUGGUCAACUCUUUGGACACUCGUAAACAGGUGGUGCAUGGUUGUCGUCAGCUCGUGUCGUGAGAUGUUGGGUUAAGUCCCGCAACGAGCGCAACCCUCGUUCUAUGUUGCCAGCACGUAAUGGUGGGAACUCAUGGGAUACUGCCGGGGUCAACUCGGAGGAAGGUGGGGAUGACGUCAAAUCAUCAUGCCCCUUAUGUCUUGGGCUUCACGCAUGCUACAAUGGCCGGUACAAAGGGCUGCAAUACCGCGAGGUGGAGCGAAUCCCAAAAAGCCGGUCCCAGUUCGGAUUGAGGUCUGCAACUCGACCUCAUGAAGUCGGAGUCGCUAGUAAUCGCAGA
RNAcentral lists this ribosomal RNA (1331 nucleotides) under Microbacterium hydrocarbonoxydans. Its description in RNAcentral is "bacterial SSU rRNA". It matches the Rfam family "Bacterial small subunit ribosomal RNA", at positions 8 to 1348 of the family's 1533-position model. The record is from RNAcentral. Lineage: Bacteria; Bacillati; Actinomycetota; Actinomycetes; Micrococcales; Microbacteriaceae.